RNAcentral lists this transfer RNA (1254 nucleotides) under Calidris pugnax (ruff). RNAcentral describes it as "lncRNA (ENSCPUG00000010801.1)". The stretch from base 984 to 1054 matches the Rfam family "tRNA". The record is from RNAcentral. Lineage: Eukaryota; Metazoa; Chordata; Aves; Charadriiformes; Scolopacidae.
GGGGGUCAGAAAUUGGUACCCGGGGCCGUGGGGCAGCACCAGAGGGUGUUGCACAUCUGGCAUUGGUGGUUCAGUGGUAGAAUUCUCGCCUGCCACGCGGGAGGCCCGGGUUCGAUUCCUGGCCAAUGCAACCUGUGUUUUUUUUCUCUCCUCGGUUGUCACCGGCUGGGGAGGGAGAGGGGCUGUCACCGCCACCCCCGGCGGGUGGCACUGCCACAGCUGGAGGGGCCAUCCUGCAGAAGGUGGCCCCCGAAUUUGUCCCUGUUUUCCCGGUGGCAGGACCUCGCUGUAGCAGUAGCAGAGGUCCUAACUCUCCUCCCAGGCAUCUGCUGCCUUGAUGGAGCCUGGGGGAGCCCUUGUGGGUGGCUCAGGGGAGGGCUCAGAGGGUCUCCCUUGAGCAUCUCUGGAGCCCUUGGCCCCGUGUGGGUGCUGGUGGGGCCUUUCUUUACUCCCAUGGGGCUGUGUGAGGGAGAUGCCAAGGGGCUUGGUGGCAGUAAGCACCCCUGGGUUGGUGGCAGGUUGUGCCCCUGACUGAGGGACAGUGCUUGUGCAUGUCCUGGUGGCCAUGAGUUGGCAGUAAGUCACACUGACUCCCGGUGACAAUGAGGGUCCAUGUCUGGGUGGCCCUGAGGGUCCCUUGCUCCUCUGCGGUGGGGCACAGAGGUUGUCUCUUGCGCACCUCUGGAUCCCUUGGCCCAGUGUGGGUGCUGCUGGGACCCUUCUUGACUCCCCUGGGGCUGUGCCACGGAGGUGCCAAGGGGCUUGGUGGCAGUGAGCACCCCUGGAUUGGUGACAGUGAGUGCUCCUGGCUGAGGGACAGUGAUUGUCCAUGGCUUGGUGGCCAUGAGGGCCCAUGGCCGAGUUGGCAGUAAGUCCCACUGACUCCCAGUGCCAAUGAAGGUCCCUGGCUUGGUGGCCCUCAGGGUCCGUGGCUCAGAGGCAGGGGGUGUGGGGCGGUGGGGUCAGAGGUCAGGGCACAUCUGGCAUUGGUGGUUCAGUGGUAGAAUUCUCGCCUGCCACGCGGGAGGCCCGGGUUCGAUUCCCGGCCAAUGCAGGAGCUGCAGCUUUUGCCACCCCGGUGUCCUGGGGGAGCCCUUGUGGGGGGCUGAGGUGGGGCUGAGAGGGUGUCCCUGGAGCACCUCUGGAGCCCUUGGCCCCGUGUGGAUGCUGGUGGGGCCCUUCUUGACUCCCAUGGGGCUGUGUGAGGGAGGUGCCAAGGGAGUUGGUGGCAGUGAGCACCCCUGGCUGGGUGGC